GAUGAAGAACGUAGCGAAAUGCGAUAAGUAAUGUGAAUUGCAGAAUUCAGUGAAUCAUCGAAUCUUUGAACGCACAUUGCGCCCCCUGGUAUUCCGGGGGGCAUGCCUGUUCGAGCGUCAUUUCACCACUCAAGCCUCGCUUGGUAUUGGGCGACGCGGUCCGCCGCGCGCCUCAAAUCGACCGGCUGGGUCUUUCGUCCCCUCAGCGUUGUGGAAACUAUUCGCUAAAGGGUGCCGCGGGAGGCCACGCCGUAAAACAACCCCAUUUCUAAGGUUGACCUCGGAUCAGGUAGGGAUACCCGCUGAACUUAAGCAUAUCAAUAAGCGAGGA
This 331-nucleotide unclassified non-coding RNA is filed under the name soil metagenome. Its description in RNAcentral is "partial contains 5.8S ribosomal RNA, internal transcribed spacer 2, and large subunit ribosomal RNA". The stretch from base 1 to 120 matches the Rfam family "5.8S ribosomal RNA", at positions 35 to 154 of the family's 154-position model. The record is from RNAcentral.